This 243-nucleotide ribosomal RNA is filed under the name uncultured bacterium. Its description in RNAcentral is "partial small subunit ribosomal RNA". It matches the Rfam family "Bacterial small subunit ribosomal RNA", at positions 26 to 285 of the family's 1533-position model. The record is from RNAcentral.
AGAGUCAACGCUGGCGGCGUGCCUAACACAUGCAAGUCGAACGAGAAAGUGGAGCAAUCCAUGAGUACAGUGGCGACCGGGUGAGUAACACGUGACUACCUACCCUUGAGUGGGGGAUAACCUCGGGAAACCGAGGCUAAUACCGCAUAAUAUCGAGAGAUCAAAGGAGCAAUUCGCUUUUGGAGGGGUCGCGGCUGAUUAGCUAGUUGGCGGGGUAAUGGCCCACCAAGGCGAAGAUCGGUA